GGGAAGGUAGCUCAGUGGUAGAGUGCAUGCCUUGCGAGCAUGAGGCCCUGGGUUCGAUUCCUCAGCACCA
This is a non-coding RNA of Dipodomys ordii (Ord's kangaroo rat), 70 nucleotides long. The record is from Rfam. NCBI's taxonomy places the organism in Eukaryota, Metazoa, Chordata, Mammalia, Rodentia, Heteromyidae.